ACCAGCAGCCAUAUCACCCUGCAACUCACCACUGGCAACCUGUUAAAGCUCAGCAGGUGUGAGCCUGGUCAGUACCUGGAUGGGAGACCUCCUGGGGAAAACUAAGGUUGCUUCUGGAA
Ribosomal RNA from Lepisosteus oculatus (spotted gar), 119 nucleotides. The record is from Rfam. NCBI's taxonomy places the organism in Eukaryota, Metazoa, Chordata, Actinopteri, Semionotiformes, Lepisosteidae.